This 669-nucleotide ribosomal RNA is filed under the name uncultured bacterium. Its description in RNAcentral is "bacterial SSU rRNA". It matches the Rfam family "Bacterial small subunit ribosomal RNA", at positions 819 to 1502 of the family's 1533-position model. The record is from RNAcentral.
GCUGUUGGCGAUACACAGUCAGCGGCCGCGCGAAAGUAUUAAGUGAACCACCUGGGGAGUACGUUGGCAACAAUGAAACUCAAAGGAAUUGACGGGGACCCGCACAAGCGGUGGAACAUGUGGUUUAAUUCGAUGAUACGCGAGGAACCUUACCUGGACUUAAAUGUAGGCUGCAUAGACUAGAGAUAGUCUUUUCUUCGGACUGCUUACAAGGUGCUGCAUGGUUGUCGUCAGCUCGUGCCGUGAGGUGUCGGGUUAAGUCCCAUAACGAGCGCAACCCCUAUCGUUAGUUGCCAUCAGGUCAAGCUGGGGACUCUAACGAAACUGCCGGUGUAAACCGCGAGGAAGGUGGGGAUGACGUCAAAUCAGCACGGCCCUUACGUCCAGGGCUACACACGUGUUACAAUGGCAUAUACAGAGGGCAGCUACACGGCGACGUGAUGCUAAUCUCGAAAGUAUGUCUCAGUUCGGAUCGGAGUCUGCAACCCGACUCCGUGAAGUUGGAAUCGCUAGUAAUCGCGCAUCAGCCAUGGCGCGGUGAAUACGUUCCCGGGUCUUGUACACACCGCCCGUCAAGCCAUGGAAGCCGAGGGUACCUGAAGUACGUAACCGUAAGGAGCGUCCUAGGGUAAAAUUGGUAACUGGGGCUAAGUCGUAACAAGGUAGCCG